GACGAACGCUGGCGGCGUGCUUAACACAUGCAAGUCGAACGGAAAGGCCCUGCUUUUGUGGGGUGCUCGAGUGGCGAACGGGUGAGUAACACGUGAGUAACCUGCCCUUGACUUUGGGAUAACUUCAGGAAACUGGGGCUAAUACCGGAUAGGAGCUCCUGCUGCAUGGUGGGGGUUGGAAAUUUUCGGCGGUUGGGGAUGGACUCGCGGCUUAUCAGCUUGUUGGUGGGGUAGUGGCUUACCAAGGCUUUGACGGGUAGCCGGCCUGAGAGGGUGACCGGCCACAUUGGGACUGAGAUACGGCCCAGACUCCUACGGGAGGCAGCAGUGGGGAAUAUUGCACAGUGGGCGGAAGCCUGAUGCAGCAACGCCGCGUGCGGGAUGACGGCCUUCGGGUUGUAAACCGCUUUCGCCUGUGACGAAGCGUGAGUGACGGUAAUGGGUAAAGAAGCACCGGCUAACUACGUG
RNAcentral lists this ribosomal RNA (468 nucleotides) under uncultured bacterium. Its description in RNAcentral is "partial 16S ribosomal RNA". It matches the Rfam family "Bacterial small subunit ribosomal RNA", at positions 28 to 507 of the family's 1533-position model. The record is from RNAcentral.